UAUAAACAAAUGAUACUUAAAAACCACAUGAAAAGAUGCUCAACAUCACUAGUCAUUAGGGAAAUGCAAAUCAAACUACAAUGAGAGACCACACCCCUUAGAAUCAAUUAAAAAAAAAACAAAAAACAGAAACUAACAAGUGUCUGGUGAGGAUAUGGAGAAACUGGAACUCUUUUGCUUUGGGGGUUCCCUCAAAGCACAAAUGUAAUGGAAAUGUAGCAGAAGUGUAGAAUGGGGCAGCCACGGCAGAAAAUGGCAUGGUGGUUCCUCAAAAAAUUAAACAUAGAAUUCCCAUAUGAUCCAUAAAUUCUAUUUCUGGGUAUAUACUCAAAAUAACUCAAAGCAGGGUCUCAAAGAGGUGGUUGUACACCCAUCUUUAUAACAGCAUUAUUUACAAUAGCCAAAUGUCUUAUCAAGACAAAUGGAGGAACAAAAUGAGGUAUAUUCAUACAAUAGUGUUAUUCAGGCUUUAGAAGGAGGGAAAUUCUGACACAUACAAUAACAAAAUGAACUUUGAGGACAUUGUGCAGAGUGAAAUAAACCAGACACAAAAGGACAAAUACUGUGUGAUUCCAUUUAUAUGGGGUAUCUAGAAGAGUCAAAUUCAGAAGCAAAGUAAACAGUGGUUCCCACAGGCUGGAGGUGGUGGGGAAAGAGGAGUUAGUGUUUAAUGGGUACAGAGCUUCAGUUAGGGAAGAUGAAAACGUUUUCUGGAGAGGGAUGGGGGUGAUGGUUGUGCAAUAAUUGUAAGGAACUUAAAGUCCUUGAACUGUACACUUAAAGUGCUCACGAUGGUGAAAUUUAGGUUCUGUAUAUUUCUAUAUAUUUCUCUAUUUCUAUUGGGGCACUAGGACCGGCUACAUAAUUUGAAGGCCUGCCCAGUGCAAAAUAAAAAUGGAGGAGCCCUUGUUCCAAAAUGUUUAAGAAUUUCAAGAGGGUGACAGCAGGGCAUUAAACUGAAUGCAGAGUCCUUUGGAGCACUACCCAGGUCAUCCUCCAUGAAACCGAGUGCAGAGUCCUUUGGAGCAUCCCCCAUGAGCACAGGGUCCUUUGGAGCACUACCCAGGUCAUCCCUCAUGAAGCCAGCCCAGCUGGGAGGUAUGUAACAGUUAGUUUUCUGUGUCAACUUACCAGGCUACAGUACCAAGUUAUUUAAUCAAACACCCAUCUCCGUGUUGUUGUGAAGAUAUUUUGUAGAUGUGGUUAACAAUCAGUUGACUUUAAGUAAAAUAAAUUAUCCUUGAUACUGUGAGUGGAUCCUAUGAAAUCAGUUAAAAGGCCUUAAAAUCAAAAAUCUAGGUUUUCAGGAGAAGAUGAAAUUCUGCCUCAAGGCCACAGCACUAACUCAGCCUGAGUUUCCAGUCUUUGGGGCUGCCCUACGGAUUUCGGGCUUGCAAGAUUAUAAUCGUGAGCUAAUUCCUAGAAAUAACUCUCUUAAUAGAAAUAUAUAUUGGUUCUGUUUCUCUGAAGAACCCUGACUGAUACAUAAGAAAAGAAAUGGAUUGGUGAAGUUAAUAAAAACAAAAGCACAGCAGGCUUUGAAAAUCAUCAAGUCCAAAUCACCUGGUUGUUCUGCAUAUGAGGAAACCAAGGCUCAGAGAAGUGAUGAAACUUGUCCAGUGUCACACAGCAAGUUAGGAAAGGCGGUGUCUUCACACUUCUCCAUCAAAGAGUGCCUGGUAGCCGUGUGUUUUCUAUAGCUUAUAUUUUAAUUUCUAAACGUCUAUGAAUUUUGCAUUCUAUUCCAUUAUAUAAUUGUGUUUUCCAUUUUUAAGUAGUGUUUUAUUUUCCAAAUCGUUUUCCCUAACAUUUCUGCUCUAGGAAGGAGUGCCACGCCUGUUCCGCGGACUUCUGACCCCGCACACCAACCCGAUGGAAGUAGUGAAGACAGUAGGGACGCACAGCACAGUGACUGAAGCCUGAAACCCUGAGGCUCAGUAAAACUUCAAUUCCUAGAAGCCUAAGGCAAUCGAAUGUUCUCGAAAUAGACCUUCCAGAAUCAAUGCAAUUUUCGGUUCAGCUUUUAGAUGCGUAUAAGAUACUCUUUCUUUGCUGUGGGAUUUUUCUGGUGCUUGAGAUCUUCUUUCCCGAGCGUUCUCCUUGCAGAGAUCUUUUGAUAUGGAGCGGCGUGCACGCAGCCCCUAGGUUGGGCGCUGAGGGGCAUCGCUGAUGCGAUCCACGUGCCUCCCCGUCCUCAGGCCGCUUCCUUUCCUGGUUUCCAGGUCCUCGUUUCUCCCAGCGCUGCCCUCCCCAUCUAAGCCCAAGUCGCCGUGAGCCCGCGCUGCCCCCUUGUGGCCAAAGCCCUCCCCAGCUCAGGAAACGGGAACGCUUGGCGGCCAGGCUGAGAGUCGGUGCGCGUGACCCGGCUUCUGCUCGCAGCAUCCAAGAAGUUGCAAUAACGUGGAAGGAUGGGGAACGGCGCCUCCCUGGCUAGCGUGAAACUCAGCCACAGCACAAAAUUGAGGCUGUUGGCCGUGAGCGGCUCUCAAAGCUGAAUUUGAGCCAUGCUAAAAUACUUACCUUGGACAUAAGCUAAGCUUUAAGUUUGUUGUUUAUAACUUCAAAGAGAGACAAGGGACAGUGACUUAAGAAUAUUCUAAGCUAUAAAUUUACAUGUGGACUUUGCUACACACCUGGGAUGCAGCCAGAUGAGUUUUGUUCCAUUGCAGUACAUCUGAUGACCAGAAUUCUAUCAGAGAAUGUUAAUGAACGAAAAGCCUGAGCUUUAAGACUGAGAUUGGUACCACGGGUAGUCAUGGCCACCUGCUGGCAGCGUAGGGUACUGCAGCCCAGCUAUGGUUCAGACUAAAAGCCGAGAAACGCCUGUGGUCCAGGGAAAGGUAUGAAGAUCAUAUAAACCGGCGGUGGACAGGAAAUGCCACAGUCAAGAAGAUGCCCCUGGGAUGCUGAGCUCUUACAACUCGAAAUCAACAGCUUUUACAAAUAAAACCGCUGCAAAAGCAAUAGCUCUUACAAAUAAAACUGAUAAUUUGGACUUCUGGGCACCAAAUGUUUUCAUAACGAAAACAUCAAUUAUGCAUUAUAAUACCAAGUACACCUUACACUUACUGAUUCUUCUCCUUAACUUUCAGUGUAUUCCUUUAGGAGAUUGUCGCACCUUGGUCAGAAUACAUCGACAGUUUUAUAAUAGAACAGAAAAGCUUCCAUUUGCAGCAAUAUAUUUUAGUUGGCUUGUUGAAACACAUCUCUCUUCCUGAAAGCAAGCAAUUCUUGAAGUGGAUCAACCUUGUCAUCAUAUCCCUUUUAUUCUUCACCCUUUUAUUCUUCACUGGUAUGACAGUCCCUAUACCAUCUUAGCCACUGCUUUUUUGUUUCUACUUAUUUUCCAUCCCCCCUGCCUGCCCCCCAUAGCAAAAUGAAGGCAUGCCGGGAAGCAGCAACUCAACAUAAAAAGAGGACCCUCCAAGCGAUCAGCUCACAAGACAGUUUUAUUGAAUUAGUUGCAUGCAGGAGCAAUUCUGUUCUUCCCAUGAGCAGCAGAGUCGAGUGUUAGAGUGCAGGAUCCAGAGCGGGGAGAGGCUGGGCGGAGUUGGGGGCCUGGA
RNAcentral lists this long non-coding RNA (3563 nucleotides) under Homo sapiens (human). RNAcentral describes it as "HSALNT0345826". Lineage: Eukaryota; Metazoa; Chordata; Mammalia; Primates; Hominidae. The record is from RNAcentral.